This 40-nucleotide ribosomal RNA is filed under the name Fusarium sp. 03001. RNAcentral describes it as "partial 18S ribosomal RNA". The record is from RNAcentral. Lineage: Eukaryota; Fungi; Ascomycota; Sordariomycetes; Hypocreales; Nectriaceae.
AGAGUACAAGUCCGUUGGUGAACCAGCGGAGGCAUCAUUA